UAGGGGUUAAGGUUAAGCAAAUGUAACCAGAAACUAAUAAUUCGGCCACACUAGCUAUCAGUAAUCCAAUGCUAGCCAAUAUACCUGCCCAGGUACCUUCUACUUCUGCUGCGUCUCCAUCUUCAUUCUUUAACAAUUGAGAUCAUUGACCGGAAGAGGCGCGUUUCACCGCGUUCAAGAUUCAGAGGCAGAGAGGCAAUUUGUGAAAUUUCACGAUGCCCUGACCGCGUUUUAGCCUUGGCAUUGGAAACUUUCUCUGACGGUCAAACGGUUCCAACGGCCCUGUUCUGGUUGGUCUGAGACGCCAAAACUCGUCGAUCUGAUCGGUGAACGAGAAAAUGAUCAAGAACGAAUUUGGGCCACCAAUACCGCUUACUAAUUGAGUUUUAAGUACAAACGUACAAUUACAUACAGCAAUAUUCAGAAAAAAAAAAAAGAAUACUAAACUAGUGAAAGUGCAGACAAUACGUACCGGAACAGUGAGCAAGGUCACUUCCGGUGUUCUCUGGGAAUCCCUGACAAUAGCAGUCAAGGCCGUGAUUGCAGCCAUAUUCGAAAGGGCAAGGGCAAUGAGGCUCGCUGCAAGGUGAGCCGUGGAAAAGCUGGAAUUCGUUUUGCUCGUUGACGUUGCAAGUGUUGCUACGACACCAAACGCUCCUGCGGCAAGAGCACCCGCACCUGCCCAUAAUCCUGCACCGGAACCUCCUAAUGCAGCGCCAUGGACCAAUACCAGGAUACCAAAUACUACAAGUUUAUUAUUACAAUUAUGUCGUAGCAGAAUCAAUUAUAAGUUAGUGGAACUUGCAAUUGAAAUUUAGUAAGGAUCAUGAACUUAUCAAUUGUAGGAAUGAAAUAUAAAUAAUAAGAAAGUAUAAAUAUAAAAUGUACUUGGGAUAUACAUGAAUAUAAUUAUGUUCAUUUCAAUAUCAGAGAAUAUGGAAUAACAAUGAACUACAGCAUGGUAAUUCUCUACGGUUUGCAAAUCUGUGGAAGGAGUUACACAAGUAUGACUUUCUAAGUGAAAUGUUUUCACUUUUACACCGAUUUCUAUGCAGUUUGGAGAAAUGUUUGCUGCUCAGUGGUCAGUCAGUGAAAAUUCGUAUAUAUUUUAUUUAUAGAAUUUUAAAACAAUCAAGAUACCACGCGAAAGUAGAAAUCACACUAACAACUUUGUAUUCAUUUUACUUGUUCAUGAAUCAUAUGAAUUAUAAUUUCAGACAAAUUUUUUGCUUUCUUAACAUUAUCUCUUGUAAUUAUUAGGAUCAUUUUAAAAAAUUAUGGACUAUAUUCUUCAUAAUGAAUUGUAAAUGUAAUAGAAUAUAUUUAAAUAAAGAAAUAUGUAAUACUGUUUGUUACAACGACAUAUUUAUUAUUCAUGAACAAAACUUGUAUUUUAUAUACACAUUAUGUAUUCUAUUAUCACGAUUUUUUAAAAUAUAAAUGUAAAUAUCUUUUCUGUUUUAUUGGAAUUAAUUAAAGUAUUUCAAGAAAUGUUUUUUUAAAAAAAAUGCGUCAUCAAGGACGAUAACGAAUGAACUUGUAAGAAUAAUAUACAUAUUAACAUAAAUUUAAAUAGUAAUCGCCGUCAAAUAUCAUAUUUAAUUAAUAGAAAUUCGCUAUCCAGUUGAAAUUAAAAUAUCUGAUAAAUACAUUUGAAUCCGUUGAAUCCGUGAUGUUAUUAAUUAAAUUAGUUCCAAUGAAACAGGUUUUUGCGCUCAUUAUUGCAAACUAAUGUCAAUUGUUUUUCAAGUGUCAAAUAUAUCUUUAUCUAAUAUUAUUAAUUGAAAAUAUGCAAUCAAGUUACUCAAUAUUAUUUAUAAAAACAAUUAAUUAAUUAACCAUUAAAUAAUGUAUUUCUCAAAAUAAUUUUGAAUUAAAUAAUUGCAGAAAUUUA
Apis cerana (Asiatic honeybee) is the source of this 1894-nucleotide long non-coding RNA. RefSeq lists it as uncharacterized. NCBI's taxonomy places the organism in Eukaryota, Metazoa, Arthropoda, Insecta, Hymenoptera, Apidae. The record is from RefSeq and is a predicted model, not a curated record.